Molecule: long non-coding RNA, 2728 nt
Filed under: Sus scrofa (pig)
Lineage: Eukaryota; Metazoa; Chordata; Mammalia; Artiodactyla; Suidae
Description: lncRNA (ENSSSCG00005014478.1)
Source: RNAcentral
CAUGUGGCCCCUCGGGAGGCAGCCGGUGUCCUGGUUCGCUCCACCACCCCGAAGGGUGCCAUAAUCUGGGGCCACGUGGUGUUUGCCACCCAGGAGACAUCUCCCUAUGACAUAGCAGUGGUGAGCCUGGAGGAGGACCUAGAGGGUGUCCCCAUACCUGUUCCAGCUGAGGAUUUCCAUGAAGGCGAGGCCGUCACGGUGGUGGGCUUCGGCGUCUUCGGCCAGGCUUGUGGGCCCUCAGUGACCUCAGGCAUCCUAUCGGCUGUGGUGCAAGUAGAUGACACACCAGUUAUGCUACAGACCACAUGUGCCGUGCAUGGUGGCUCCAGCGGGGGACCUCUCUUCUCCACCUGCUCUGGGAACCUCUUAGGCAUCAUCGCCAGCAACACCCGGGACAAUAACACUGGGGCCACCUACCCCCACCUGAACUUCAGCAUUCCCAUCACGGUGCUCCAGCCGGCCCUGCAGCAGUACCAUCAGACAGGAGAUCUGGGCGGCCUCCGGCAGCUGGACCGCGCCACUGAGCCAGUCAGGGUGGUGUGGCGGCUGCAGCAACCCCAGACAGAGGCCCCACGGAGCAAGCUCUGAAGCUGUGUCUCCCCUCUGGAGAGAAGAGCAGCCACUUUAUGCCACAGGGAGUGCUAAAGCUGGUGACCUCAGAAUCCUGACCCAGCACGCUGCAGCUGGGCUGCCUCCCGUCGCCAGCCCUGGAGUCUGGAUCAAACUUCUCAUUAGCCUCUAUGGGUCUCUAACCUAGUCGCCCAUUUGAGGGGUGCUUUCUCGAGCCCCCAUCUCUCUCUGUCCCCUGACACUAGACUCAGCUCUGUUCUCUCCCCUUCUGGGGAACCCAGAAUGACUGUACAACAGCCCUGGUCCUGACAGACGGAUGGGAGUUGGAAGGCAGGUCCAGCCCUGGGUUUGAGUCUGCUCCCUGUCUCCUGAUGGCCACCGGCCGCCUGGAGCAGUUGCUUCCUGCACCCUGAGCUCCUCUCUGCUCUGGGUCAGAAUGGGGCUGGCAGAGCACUGGGGCUUCCUCAGAAAAAUGGGCACAGAGGCCCUGUUCUGAAGACCAGAGGUGAAAGGAGGGCAUCUUCCUGUUCCGCUAGACCAGAGGCGGUGGCGUGCCUGAAAGCCAGGACUCCUGGCUCUUCAUAUGCCAGGGGCCCUGACCUACAGGGAUGCUCUGACACAGUGCCUUAAUUUUCCAGCCCAUAAAAUGGGCCUCAGGGAUCUGGGGACAGGGGGCUGGGAUGUGUCUGGUUGGGGUUUGGGAAUAAACAGGAUCGAUAGGAGACAGGACCUACUUCUAUAUAUCAGCUUCUUUUUCUCCUCCUCCUUUGUUUCGAGAGUUGAGUGGGAAAUAGGAAAGCACCAGGCACAGAAAUACAGCUUUUCUGUCCUGCUUUCUCAGUGCGGCUUCAUCUCACAGGACACUCGUGCCAGACUAGUCCUGGUAGCUGGUCCUGGUGCCAGUCACCACGGGGUGGGGCUUGCAGAUCCCGGAGGGUGGUGAUCUUAGCCUGGCUUCAGGUGUUCAGAAAGUGCCCAGGCCUUUGCCAGGCCCUGGAAGUGGGUGGGAGUGGGCAGUUCAAAGGGGAAUGAGGCCAAGGCAGCCCCUUGGAGCUAAGACCAACCCUGGGGGUCAGGAGCAUACACUGUGUGUGUGCCCAGGGCCCUACACAUGUAGGCCCUCAAGCAAUGAUUGUUAAAUCAUCAAUAGGUUGGGCCCCUCAUCUUACUGCAUCUGGGGCUGCCCUUUCAGAGGAGCCAUGGCCAGGGUUGAUCCAUCCAGGCUGGGAGGGGUGCUCCACCAUGGGUGUGGAUUGCAGGUGAAGCUGGGUGCUGUCAACUGAAGCUGUGGGAGCAGGUGGAGUGAAGGGCCUGGGGCCAGAGCAGGAGCCUGCCAGGGGCUGAGAAGAGACAAGCAGAAGCACAGGAAGAAAACCGGGGAGGCUAAGACCUAGGUCAGUGGGGCAGACACCAGAAUCUGUUUUCCUCACUUCUUUCCGGUCCUGGCCACCCUCGCAGUCAGGUGUGUCUGUGAGUUCCAACUCACGGUACCAGAGCAGAAGGGAGGUUUGCCACUUCCAGGCUGGCUUAUAGAAACUUAUCUGGACUUCUCUGCACCCUUACCCCCACCCCCCGCCCCUGGUGGGAGUGAAGGCAACCCUUUAAAGAGACCUUGGGAGCCAUUUAUUAAAGAUGGCCCCCUCGUUCUGGUCCCUGGAUGACGGUGUGGAGGGGGCAGCCUCAUUAACCAGUCCAUCGGCCAGGUACUGAAACCCAGGCCAGAAUUGCACUUCUGCUGCAUUUGAGCCAUUAGACGGGGGGAUCUAUUCGUCACAGCCAUAGAACCUGUCCUCAUAAAGUCUUUGCCUACCUGGGAGCACUAGGCCAAACCACAUUUCGAGGGAGAGUCCUCCUGUCAUCUGAGGGUUAUACAUUUCACUAAAACCAACCAGGCUCUUUGGAUGAAGCUAAGAGUUGUCUCUUCCUUGAGUGGGGUUAGCACUUCUAUUUCUUUGGGUCCCCGGGUUGAGCCCAGUACCUUGGAGUUCCUCCCAGCCCUGGGAGACCAUAGUAGGGUCACCUGUUGCUGUCAGAGACUGUCCUCAGGCCUGGGUGCGCUCACUCAUCAUGGCUGAGAGCCAGCAAUGCUUCCUUCUCAUAGACUCUGUGAUAUUUAAUCUGUGUGCCAUUCUGGUUAAUCAUUAAAGUUCCACAGAAC